AUCACAGACCUAAGCUUGUCUAACUGUAGGCAGGGGAGAGAAGAAGGUGGGUUUGUCAGCACUCUCUAAUGCCCAGGCACUGCCAACCAGUGCCAGGGAAGGACAGUGUCUGCUUUUGCCUGACCCAUAUGAUGCCACAAAAACUACCCGUUGGUAAAAUCCCCAGUGCGCAGAAGCAACACCUCAGGCAGCCUAUGUUACCCAUGGAUGAGUCUCAGCCAUUCUUGGCCUUUACCGUCUGAUCUAACUUUUCCAGUCAGGAACAGCUGAAGCAACGCUCCUCUCAAGCUUCCGCAGCUCCUUCUCUAUGUUCUUCACCGUCGAUCUGGACCACAGAGCCAACACCACAAAGGAUCACUCGCUGAGCCAAGAGGCUGCUUGUGGGGCUGGUAGCAGCCAGGGACAGGGAGCGGUACACAGCACAGGAAGGCAUGAACCCUUCUCAGGACCAAAUGCAGCUUGGGUACAACUCUCCCAAAGUCCCCACCCUUUAACUUCAGGGCAGAAUUUGCCUCCCUACUAUAGUGGCUUGAAGAUACUUCUGUGGGUUAGAAACCCACAUAUCACAUGCCAACUUCAGGUUAAUCUGACUGGAUUCCUCCGCGCUCUGGCCUGCUCCUGCAGCCUCCACUCCUUCCAAGACAUUCUGCAGAUUGAUUAUCUAGAACCACGACAGCUGUCAAGAGUCAGGACUCCAGGGCAUAGGCCUGCUUGCAUGGACCUCUGCCCAGUGGGCAGACACCCACCCUCUGGCAGUGCUGGGUUUAACUACCCAUCAAAAACACCCAGAGCCAGAAGCCACCCUUGUGCAAGUAGCUGCUACUCCACUCAUUUCAAAGGAUUUGCACCAGAACUGACCUCCUGGUGUUAAGGACUAAGUCUCCCUGUAGGUGUGGAGAGGUAGGCCAGAUCUCCCUAAAGUGGCACCUGGGACCCUGAAGAGCACCCUGGAAUUUGCCUGCAUCGCAACCCAAGGUCUGAAGCCUGUGAGGAAAGGACCGGAUGCGGGGGAAUGCCCUACCUGCAUCCAAGAGGAGCUGCUUCAGCUUGUUGAGGUCUGAGUAGAACCAGAGCGCUCUGAAGCAAGUCCUGAAACGAACUGCCAUGGCUACUGGACUCCUUUGGGGCAAUUUGCCCUCUCAGCUCUUCCCUCCUGAGGCACAUCGCAGGAUCUCAGUAGGUAAUCUGAGUGAUCGUGAAGGAUCUGGCUGAAUACCAACCAGCAUAGAAGAUCCAUAAUUGCUUCCUUGGCUUGAUAGACCAUAUCAGUGUUUCAGGAUUUGCAGUUUCACAUGUUUUUCACUUAUUUUCUGGAACUGCUAAAAUGCUGAUAAUUAUGUCUAACGCCCCCACUGAAUCUGCCUAAAACAGUCAAUCCUUGCAUAGCUGCUCUACAAUAUACCCAU
Alligator sinensis (Chinese alligator) is the source of this 1406-nucleotide long non-coding RNA. RefSeq lists it as uncharacterized. Lineage: Eukaryota; Metazoa; Chordata; Crocodylia; Alligatoridae. The record is from RefSeq and is a predicted model, not a curated record. The transcript is spliced from 5 exons.